AUGGCCAUCGCCGGCAGCGGGAGGGGCAAGGCGAAGCCCGCCGCCAGCGCCAAGUCCGUGUCCCGGUCGUCCAAGGCCGGCCUGCAGUUCCCCGUCGGCCGCGUCGCCCGCUACCUCAAAGUCGGCAAGUACGCGCAGCGCGUCGGCGCCGGCGCCCCCGUCUACCUGGCCGCCGUUCUCGAGUACCUCGCCGCAGAGACCCUGGAGCUCGCUGGGAACGCGGCGCGGGACAACAAGAAGAACCGGAUCGUGCCGCGCCACAUCCAGCUGGCGGUGCGCAACGACGAGGAGCUGAGCCGGCUGCUGGGCUCGGUCACCAUCGCCGCCGGCGGGGUGCUGCCCAGCAUCCACACCACGCUCCUCCGCAAGAAGGCCGGCAAGGGCAAGGGCGACAUCGGCUCCGCUUCCCAGGAGUUUUAG
RNAcentral lists this ribosomal RNA (420 nucleotides) under Triticum aestivum (bread wheat). RNAcentral describes it as "partial small subunit ribosomal RNA". The record is from RNAcentral. Lineage: Eukaryota; Viridiplantae; Streptophyta; Magnoliopsida; Poales; Poaceae.